AGGAAUCUGCCUAUUAGUGGGGGACAACGUUUCGAAAGGAACGCUAAUACCGCAUACGUCCUACGGGAGAAAGCAGGGGACCUUCGGGCCUUGCGCUAAUAGAUGAGCCUAGGUCGGAUUAGCUAGUUGGUGGGGUAAAGGCUCACCAAGGCGACGAUCCGUAACUGGUCUGAGAGGAUGAUCAGUCACACUGGAACUGAGACACGGUCCAGACUCCUACGGGAGGCAGCAGUGGGGAAUAUUGGACAAUGGGCGAAAGCCUGAUCCAGCCAUGCCGCGUGUGUGAAGAAGGUCUUCGGAUUGUAAAGCACUUUAAGUUGGGAGGAAGGGCAGUAAAUUAAUACUUUGCUGUUUUGACGUUACCGACAGAAUAAGCACCGGCUAACUCUGUGCCAGCAGCCGCGGUAAUACAGAGGGUGCAAGCGUUAAUCGGAAUUACUGGGCGUAAAGCGCGCGUAGGUGGUUUGUUAAGUUGGAUGUGAUAGCCCCGGGCUCAACCUGGGAACUGCAUCCAAAACUGGCAAGCUAGAGUACGGUAGAGGGUGGUGGAAUUUCCUGU
RNAcentral lists this ribosomal RNA (559 nucleotides) under uncultured bacterium. RNAcentral describes it as "bacterial SSU rRNA". It matches the Rfam family "Bacterial small subunit ribosomal RNA", at positions 119 to 674 of the family's 1533-position model. The record is from RNAcentral.